This 611-nucleotide long non-coding RNA is filed under the name Homo sapiens (human). RNAcentral's name for it is "HSALNT0054229". The record is from RNAcentral. Lineage: Eukaryota; Metazoa; Chordata; Mammalia; Primates; Hominidae.
CGCGCAUGGCAGCUCUGAGGACCGAAGAUGUUGCCGCCAUCUUUAUUGAGGACGUGAGCGUUGCUCCUGGUGCUGAACAGAGCGCGAAGGUUCGCCGUCGUUGGGUCCGCCCUCCCCACUUUCGGUCGCCGCCUUCACCCACCUCCCUCCUUCUAGGGCGCUGUCCCAGCUCCGUCUCCCAGCCUUUUUCUGUCCUUCCAGAUCUCUUGUUCCCCCUUCCUGACCACUAGUUCUGAACCGUGUCCCGGAUUUUGGUCUGAAAUUUUGGUGCCCAUGAGCGUUCUCAUAGCUCUGGGAGGGGGUACUGUGUGAAAUCCUGGGGUAGAGGGGACGAUGGCUGGAGAGGGGUCUGGGGUGCCAGCACCCCGAACAAUAGCUUUAACUAUCCCAUCAGCUAGUUUUAUGAAACAUGUCGCGACCACCUGCUUGUUUGGAUCGCCCCUGCGGAGCAGGGACCAGAGAUGACCCUCCCGAGGCGGGAGCAGAGGCCAAAUUCUUCCCUGCCUUGCUGGUCCCCAGCAGUCUCCCGGGCUCGGGGCCCCUUCACUGGAGGCUGCACCCCCUCCCAGGCUGCGAGUCCCGAGUGCUCUGGGAUGCCACGUGGAGCCCGG